This 484-nucleotide ribosomal RNA is filed under the name uncultured bacterium. Its description in RNAcentral is "partial 16S ribosomal RNA". It matches the Rfam family "Bacterial small subunit ribosomal RNA", at positions 28 to 523 of the family's 1533-position model. The record is from RNAcentral.
GACGAACGCUGGCGGCGUGCUUAACACAUGCAAGUCGAACGAUGAAGCUGGAGCUUGCUCCGGUGGAUUAGUGGCGAACGGGUGAGUAACACGUGAGUAAUCUGCCCUUGACUCUGGGAUAACUGCGGGAAACUGUAGCUAAUACCGGAUACGACACCCUCGGGCAUCCGAUGGGUGUGGAAAGAAUUUCGGUCAAGGAUGAACUCGCGGCCUAUCAGCUAGUUGGUGAGGUAAUGGCUCACCAAGGCGACGACGGGUAGCCGGCCUGAGAGGGUGACCGGCCACACUGGGACUGAGACACGGCCCAGACUCCUACGGGAGGCAGCAGUGGGGAAUAUUGCACAAUGGGCGAAAGCCUGAUGCAGCAACGCCGCGUGAGGGAUGAAGGCCUUCGGGUUGUAAACCUCCUUUAGUUGGGAAGAAGCGAAAGUGACGGUACCAACAGAAAAAGCACCGGCUAACUGCGUGCCAGCCGCCGCCGUAA